AAAUUGAAGAGUUUGAUCAUGGCUCAGAUUGAACGCUGGCGGCAGGCCUAACACAUGCAAGUCGAACGGUAACAGGAAACAGCUUGCUGUUUCGCUGACGAGUGGCGGACGGGUGAGUAAUGUCUGGGAAACUGCCUGAUGGAGGGGGAUAACUACUGGAAACGGUAGCUAAUACCGCAUAACGUCGCAAGACCAAAGAGGGGGACCUUCGGGCCUCUUGCCAUCGGAUGUGCCCAGAUGGGAUUAGCUUGUUGGUGGGGUAACGGCUCACCAAGGCGACGAUCCCUAGCUGGUCUGAGAGGAUGACCAGCCACACUGGAACUGAGACACGGUCCAGACUCCUACGGGAGGCAGCAGUGGGGAAUAUUGCACAAUGGGCGCAAGCCUGAUGCAGCCAUGCCGCGUGUAUGAAGAAGGCCUUCGGGUUGUAAAGUACUUUCAGCGGGGAGGAAGGGAGUAAAGUUAAUACCUUUGCUCAUUGACGUUACCCGCAGAAGAAGCACCGGCUAACUCCGUGC
This 518-nucleotide ribosomal RNA is filed under the name Escherichia coli. RNAcentral's name for it is "bacterial SSU rRNA". It matches the Rfam family "Bacterial small subunit ribosomal RNA", at positions 1 to 508 of the family's 1533-position model. The record is from RNAcentral. Lineage: Bacteria; Pseudomonadati; Pseudomonadota; Gammaproteobacteria; Enterobacterales; Enterobacteriaceae.